Molecule: long non-coding RNA, 229 nt
Filed under: Chrysemys picta bellii (western painted turtle)
Lineage: Eukaryota; Metazoa; Chordata; Testudines; Emydidae
Description: lncRNA (ENSCPBG00000020703.1)
Source: RNAcentral
GUUGCCUUGGCUCCCCGUAGCUAUAGCAGCGGGGUGGGGGACGAAGCGAGCGAGGAUGCUGCGGGCUCCGGUGGGACGCGUCUCAGGCGGGCUCUCAAUGUCAUUUGGAAGAUGGAUUCCGCCAUAUCUGGAUUAAAUUCCUUAUCCUGCAGAUGCAUCUUCUCUCAAUAAGAAAGUGGGAGAAUAUUCUGCUCUGACAAAGGCGUCCUGGACAGUAACUCCACCACAA